This 463-nucleotide ribosomal RNA is filed under the name uncultured bacterium. RNAcentral describes it as "partial 16S ribosomal RNA". It matches the Rfam family "Bacterial small subunit ribosomal RNA", at positions 28 to 507 of the family's 1533-position model. The record is from RNAcentral.
GACGAACGCUGGCGGCGUGCUUAACACAUGCAAGUCGAACGGAAAGGCCUUUUCGGAGGUACUCGAGUGGCGGACGGGUGAGUAAGACGUGGGUGAUCUGCCCUUCACUCUGGGAUAAGCCUGGGAAAGUGGGUCUAAUACCGGAUAGGACCGAACUCUUGUGUGUGUGGUGGAAAGUUUUUGCGGUGUAGGUUGAGCCCGCGGGCUAUCAGCUUGUUGGUGGGGUAAUGGCCUACCAAGGCGGCGACGGGUAGCCGGACUGAGAGGUUGGUCGGCCACAUUGGGACUGAGAUACGGCCCAGGCUCCGACGGGAGGCAGCAGGGGGGAAUAUUGCACAAUGGGCGCGAGCCUGAUGCAGCGACGCCGCGGGGGGGAUGACGGCCUUCGGGUUGUAAACUCCUUUCGCCAGGGACGAAGCGUUUUGUGACGGUACCUGGAGAAGAAGCACCGGCUAACUACGUG